This 468-nucleotide ribosomal RNA is filed under the name uncultured bacterium. Its description in RNAcentral is "partial 16S ribosomal RNA". It matches the Rfam family "Bacterial small subunit ribosomal RNA", at positions 28 to 507 of the family's 1533-position model. The record is from RNAcentral.
GACGAACGCUGGCGGCGUGCUUAACACAUGCAAGUCGAACGGAAAGGCCCUGCUUUUGUGGGGUGCUCGAGUGGCGAACGGGUGAGUAACACGUGAGUAACCUGCCCUUGACUUUGGGAUAACUUCAGGAAACUGGGGCUAAUACCGGAUAGGAGCUCCUGCUGCAUGGUGGGGGUUGGAAAGUUUCGGCGGUUGGGGAUGGACUCGCGGCUUAUCAGCUUGUUGGUGGGGUAGUGGCUUACCAAGGCUUUGACGGGUAGCCGGCCUAAGAGGGUGACCGGCCACAUUGGGACUGAGAUACGGCCCAGACUCCUACGGGAGGCAGAAGUGGGGAAUAUUGCACAAUGGGCGGAAGCCUGAUGCAGCAACGCCGCGUGCGGGAUGACGGCCUUCGGGUUGUAAACCGCUUUCGCCUGUGACGAAGCGUGAGUGACGGUAAUGGGUAAAGAAGCACCGGCUAACUACGUG